RNAcentral lists this ribosomal RNA (1111 nucleotides) under Spinibarbus caldwelli. RNAcentral describes it as "partial large subunit ribosomal RNA". It matches the Rfam family "Bacterial large subunit ribosomal RNA", at positions 165 to 2065 of the family's 2925-position model. Lineage: Eukaryota; Metazoa; Chordata; Actinopteri; Cypriniformes; Cyprinidae. The record is from RNAcentral.
GCUAGCUUAACCGCCCAAUAACUAAACAAUAUAAAUAAAAUAAAAUAAACCCACACCAAAAACUAAACCAUUCUUUUACCUGAGUAUGGGAGACAGAAAAGGUUCUACUUAAAGCAAUAGAGGCAGUACCGCAAGGGAAAGCUGAAAGAGAAAUGAAACAAUUCACAUAAGCAUUAAAAAGCAAAGAUUAAAUCUUGUACCUUUUGCAUCAUGAUUUAGCCAGUACACCCAAGCAAAGAGACCUUUAGUUUGAAACCCCGAAACCAAGUGAGCUACCCCGAGACAGCCUAUUAAGGGCCAACCCGUCUCUGUGGCAAAAGAGUGGGAAGAGCUCCGGGUAGAAGUGACAAGCCUACCGAACUUGGUGAUAGCUGGUUGCCUAAGAAAUGAAUAGAAGUUCAGCCUCGUGCCCUCUCUAAUCAAAACAUACAAACAAGACGCUUAAGAGAGACACACGAGAGUCAGUUAAAGGGGGUACAGCCCCUUUAACAAAGGACACAACCUUUCCAGGAGGAUAAGGAUCAUAAUACAUAAAAUAUACUGUUCUAGUGGGCCUAAAAGCAGCCACCUAAACAGAAAGCGUUAAAGCUCAGACAGAAAGAAGUUUAUUAUUCUGAUAAAAAAUCUUACUCCCCUAAAUACUAUUAGGCCAACCCAUGCCUACAUGGGAAAGACUAUGCUAAAAUGAGUAACAAGAAGGCCCGCCCUUCUCCAAGCACAAGUGUAAGCUAAACCGGACCAACCACUAGCAACUAACGAACUCAACCCAAGAGAGCAAUAUGGACUACAUAAAGACCAAGAAAAAUCCAUAAUCAAACAUCGUUAACCCCACACUGGAGUGCUAUUUAAAGGAAAGACUAAAAGAAAAGGAAGGAACUCGGCAAACACAAGCCUCGCCUGUUUACCAAAAACAUCGCCUCCUGCAACACAACCAAGUAUAAGAGGUCCAGCCUGCCCAGUGACUACAAGUUCAACGGCCGCGGUAUUUUGACCGUGCAAAGGUAGCGCAAUCACUUGUCUUUUAAAUAAAGACCUGUAUGAAUGGCUAAACGAGGGCUUAACUGUCUCCCCUUUCAAGUCAGUGAAAUUGAUUUACCCGUGCAGAAGCGGG